CCGUGGUAUGACUAGCUACUGAAUCAAAGAGUUAAAUUUAUAACUCAUGAUGUCGUAAGGGAAAAUAAUGAUAAUACCUUACUAUUAGUGUCGUCCAAAUCUGGUGCCAGAAGACUCGGUAAGACCAGAGACGCAAACGUUAAUCAUCAUAAUCAGGCGUAAAGGGUUUGUAGGCAGCCUCCAUCCCCGUCACCCGUCCAGCCCAUCCCCUCCCCCGCCUUUAGCAGGGGGCUCGGAGAAGGGUGGGGGCGGAGGGGCGGGAGCCGGAGAGCUAGAAUCAAAAAGAGGUUAUAGUGUAUAACGCCUAGAGGAGGGCUGAUAUCCAUAGAUUCUAGGCAGAAUACUCAGGGCGAAGGCCACUCUCCACUAAUGAUUGACGCUGAGAAACGAAGGUUAGGAUAGGAAAUAGGAUUAGAUACCCCGGUACUCCUUUCUGUAAACGAUGAAUGGUAGUCAUUAGUUUUUAACUAGAGACGAAGUUAACACAAUAACCAUUCCGCCUUGUGAGUACUACUGCAAAGUAGAAAACAAAAAAAUUAGUCGGUCUCGAAGCAAACGGAGUGAAGCAUGUUAUUUAAUUCGAUAAAUCCGCA
RNAcentral lists this ribosomal RNA (593 nucleotides) under Favolus pseudogrammocephalus. Its description in RNAcentral is "SSU rRNA". It matches the Rfam family "Bacterial small subunit ribosomal RNA", at positions 387 to 965 of the family's 1533-position model. Lineage: Eukaryota; Fungi; Basidiomycota; Agaricomycetes; Polyporales; Polyporaceae. The record is from RNAcentral.